This 3581-nucleotide long non-coding RNA is filed under the name Homo sapiens (human). RNAcentral describes it as "HSALNT0251658". The record is from RNAcentral. Lineage: Eukaryota; Metazoa; Chordata; Mammalia; Primates; Hominidae.
UCUAGCUCAGGGAUUGUAAAGGCACCAAUCAGCCCCCUGUCAAAACAGACCACUGGGCUCUACCAAUCAGCAGGAUGUGGGUGGGGCCAAAUAACAGAAUAAAAGCAGGCUGCCCGAGCCAGCAGUGGCAAGCUGCUCGGAUCCCAGCCCACGGUGUGGAAGCUUUGUUCUUUCGCUCUUUGCAAUAAAUCCUGCUGCUGCUCACUCUUUGGGUCAACACUACCUUUCUGAGCUGUGACGCUCACUGCGAAGGUCUGCAGCUUCACCCCUGAAGCCAGCAAGACCACGAACCCACCGGGAGGAACUAACAACUCCAGACGCGCCGCCUUAAGAGCUGUAACACUCACCGCGAAGGUCCGCAGCUUUACUCCUGAGCCAGCGAGACCACGAACCCACCAGAAGGAAGAAACUCAGAACACAUGCGAACAUCAGAAGGAACAAACUCCAGAGGCGCCACCUUAAGAGCUAUAACACUCACCGCGAGGGUCCGCGGCUUCGUUUUUGAAGUGAGACCAAGAACCCACCAAUUCCGGACAUGCGUGGACUCACUGAGAAGCAGCAAGUUGGCGUUGACUUAGCCCGCUCAGUGUGCAGAGUGGGUUGAAGAAAAGAAUAGACCACAUCAGAGGAGUAAAGGGGUGGGGGCAAAAGCCAGAGAAGGUGGGACCUUGGAAUCACUGGAAUGACUUUGCUUCCACUGGCCAGGUGGAGAUGUGUGCCUGGGUCGGUAUAAACCUCUCUCUGUGUUUCAAGAACACACCUUUGGGAAGGUGACAGUGUGGUGGUGGGACAGCAAACUGCCAGUCUAGAAAGCUACUCCAGGCCUCAGUUUCUCAUCUGUGGAAUUAAGACAUUGGCCUGUAGAUCCAUGGGAUCCAUCAGGGAUCACCCCAGCUCUAAGCAUCUAUGAUACCGUGGGAAUGGAGAUGAAGAUAUUUCAUUUAACAUCUGGUCAAGAGUCCAAGUAAACAGGUGAGCAACUCUCUUGCAUACCUAGAGAGUGUGAGCAUGAGUAAAUCCUUUCACUCUUGGAAUGAGAAGGAAAUAGUAAACCCACUUUCUAGGCUAAUCAUGUGAUAUUUUACCAAACUCUGAGUUUAGAAAGAUGUUAUAUAAUCUGGCUUUUAUUGCAUGUAUUUAGAUCGAUUUUAUCAAGCCAUGUUCCCUGAUACAUAUUAGGAUUGCACCUCAAAGUCUUGGGUAGCCUUAGGUCAUAUUUCAGCUGUGGUUCUUUUGUUUAGAGCAAGAAGUAUGUGGAAGUAUUUUGUUUUGUUUUUAUCAAUCUUGGUAGCUCACGUGAUGUCCUUCAAGAGCCAGCCAUACUCUGGGGCUUAUCGUCUUGGCAGAAAAAGCAACUGUCCAGAGGUCAAACAAGGGCCUGUUUCCUCCCCUGCGAGCCAGCUGAGACCUUCCAUUCCCAGACUGAGUUUCAGUCCUUUAGUUUAGCCUUAAGGCUUUGUUCCCUAAUAAAAUGCAACACACUGGAAAGACUGCCACUAAGUUACUCUCAGAUUUACUUUACAAGGAUGAGUUGAGAUCAACUUUUGAUGAGCAGAGGAGGGCCAAAUAGACCAUGUGUCCUUGGGAGGGAAGAGCUGUGUCCCUGGGAUGGGGAGCAUUUUGGAACCAGAGGUUGGAAGCACCAAAGCCGAACAGUUCCUUCUCACCAGUGCUUCCCAGGCAGAGCCUCACAAAACAGCACAAUUGUGGCAAUUCCCCUGUGAGGCUUCUUUAAGAACCCUAUUUUCCCUGGUUUAAGUAAACUCAAAUAUUUCAUUUGUAUUUCUGUAAGCACACAUUUUCAACUCUUGCUGCCUUCUUGGCUGUUGAAUGACUGUCAUCACCAUGUGUAGAAUCAUGGAUCUAAGAAUCCUCAGUGUCACUUAGUCCAACUUUCUUCCCCAAAUAGUCUCUUCUAGGAUAUCUUCCCCAUUGAUGGCCACUAUGUAGGUGCUUGAACCUUUGCAGUAACAAGGACUUCAUUGCUUCAUAAGGCACUGUGUUACAUGAUGGACUAUUGUAUUUUUAGGAAGUUCUUUUUAUUGAAUCAAACUUUAUCUCUCUAAACAUCAAUUGAUCAUUUCUAGUCUCCCAGAAUUACUUUGGUUAAUGGAUCUCAAAGUCUAAAUUCAAACAUUGUCACCUAAGCAUUGAGGUCCUCCCCUUUUUUGUUCCUCUCACUAGUCUAGUUUUAUGAACAAUCCUAUGAAACCUCGAUGACCACACAUCUGACAAGCCCAUUACUGUUUCAAAAGGAAAGGAAGGUAGGGAUCUACAAGCUAAUGUCUCCAAAGCAGAUCUUAGCACAAUUCUGAUUCUGCAUCCAGCACAUGACAUUCUCCCUGGAGAUAAUCCCAAUGCCUGCUUAAUAGGUUAGAGUCCCAGCGUUUAAUAUCUGACCGCAUUAAGAGUUUUUAACAUCUCACUUAAAAUUAAUCCAUAACAGAUAUUUUUGACAUAAAACUCAAAAGGAAAUAGCUUCCUACCCAAAUUAACUACAAAAUCGGGAAAAACUUUAAAAGUUUCUGUAUUAGACUGUACACAAGCCUGCCUACUGUAUUUAACUGGACUCUUCAUGACAUCUAGUGGCGAAAUCUGGAAAAGUUUCCAGUACUCUAAACGUGGCAGAAGGUGGGAAAACAAUUUUUAAUCCUAUUUGAUAUUCACUGUUUGAAUAUUAUGUUUUGUGAAAUCGUAAACUGAAUUCAUCUGUCAAUCCAUUAUAAUAGUAUACUCAUUUUUAUUUUAGGCAUAUCUGUGGCUUUAUACCUUUUAAAUUUGGGCUGACUUUGAAAUCAAUCACAUCUAUUUUUUCACGGAUGUCAGAAAGAACCACAUUGGUUUAGGGGGAGAAAAACAUUCUGGAUAAGCAUAAAUAACAACAUUUUUAGCUGGAAACACACCACAAAAAUGUUUUGCAUAACUGUAUUCAUCUUCAAAUGUAGUUUUAAGACUCAAUUCCUGUGAAAUCUGAGUCAUUUAUAGCUAACCUUGAAUGUAUUGUUAUUCACAAUUAGAAGUAGAUAAAUUUCACAGGCAGAGAAGCUGACAAGUCUUUAAGACUUCACACUUAGUUUUGCAGGAAGAGCUGAAGUUAAUUAGAAGUGAUUAUACAUACAUUGCAUGUGUGUGUGUAUUUGUGUUGUUGCACACAGACACCACGAAGGCCUUGGGAAGGUUGCAUUUUUUAUGUUUUAAAAAUAAACAUAAUCUCCUUCCCAUGUGUUGCUAUAAGCCCAGUAAAUCUAGGAAGCUCAGCAGGGUUGAACAAGGUCAUUUCUCGUCAGGACUCCAAGGGGGAGCAGGAAGCAACCCUGUGCAUCAGAUGCUGGCAUCCUAAUCCCUGCUCAGCAAGAGCUUCCCAGGCAUGUGGGACAGGUCGUGCCAGCGCCGACACACUGGCAGACCGAGGCUCUGACGCCAGCCACGCUCCGUAUCAGCACUGCGGCUCCCUACCUACCGUGCCCCUGGAAGACGAAAAUAUAUCCUCACUCUCACAGUAAAGGCAGGAUUCCAACCGAGUCUGCUCACUUCUUGGUUCUGGUAAACAGGAAAGUAGUCAUGAAAAGAUACAUCUAAUC